UACGUAGGGGGCGAGCGUUACCCGGAUUUACUGGGCUUAAAGGGCGCGUAGGUGGCCUUGUAAGUCAAAGGUGGAAUUCCACAGCUCAACUGUGGAACUGCCUUUGAUACUGCAAGGCUUGAGUCAGGUAGAGGAGGGCGGAAUUCCCGGUGUAGCGGUGAAAUGCGUAGAUAUCGGGAGGAAGGCCGGUGGCGAAGGCGGCCCUCUGGGCCUGUACUGACACUGAGGCGCGAAAGCGUGGGGAGCAAACAGG
Molecule: ribosomal RNA, 253 nt
Filed under: uncultured microorganism
Description: partial 16S ribosomal RNA
Rfam family: Bacterial small subunit ribosomal RNA
Source: RNAcentral